This 402-nucleotide ribosomal RNA is filed under the name uncultured bacterium. RNAcentral's name for it is "bacterial SSU rRNA". It matches the Rfam family "Bacterial small subunit ribosomal RNA", at positions 355 to 775 of the family's 1533-position model. The record is from RNAcentral.
UAGGGAAUAUUAGUAAUGGGCGCAAGCCUGAACUAGCAACGCCGCGUGUGCGAAGAAGGCCUUCGGGUUGUAAAGCACUUUUUGAGAGGAUGAGGAAGGACGGUACUCUCAGAAUAGUCUCGGCUAACUACGUGCCAGCAGCCGCGGUAACACGUAGGAGGCGAACGUUAUCCGGAUUUACUGGGCGUAAAGCGCGUGUAGGUGGUUUGGUAAGUAGGGCGUGAAAGCUCCUGGCUCAACUGGGAGAGGCCGUUCUAAACUGCCGAACUAGAGGAUGGUAGAGGGAGGUGGAAUCCCGGGUGUAGCGGUGGAAUGCGCAGAUAUCCGGAGGAACACCAGUGGCGAAAGCGGCCUCCUGGACCAUUCCUGACACUCAGACGCGAAAGCUAGGGUAGCAAACGG